RNAcentral lists this ribosomal RNA (430 nucleotides) under uncultured bacterium. RNAcentral describes it as "bacterial SSU rRNA". It matches the Rfam family "Bacterial small subunit ribosomal RNA", at positions 354 to 796 of the family's 1533-position model. The record is from RNAcentral.
GUUAGGAAUCUUGCGCAAUGGGCGAAAGCCUGACGCAGCGACACCGCGUGGGGGAUGAAGGCCUUCGGGUUGUAAACCCCUUUCGGCAGGGACGAAGCGGAAGUGACGGUACCUGCAGAAGAAGUCCCGGCUAACUACGUGCCAGCAGCCGCGGUAAGACGUAGGGGACGAGCGUUGUCCGGAUUCAUUGGGCGUAAAGCGCGCGCAGGCGGUCACGUAAGUCGGAUGUGAAAUCCCGGGGCUCAACCCCGGAACUGCAUUCGAUACUGCGUGACUUGAGGCAGGUAGGGGAGAUCGGAAUUCCUGGUGUAGCGGUGAAAUGCGCAGAUAUCAGGAGGAACACCGGUGGCGAAGGCGGAUCUCUGGGCCUGUCCUGACGCUGAGGCGCGAAAGCUAGGGGAGCGAACAGGAUUAGAAACCCGAGUAGUCC